Molecule: ribosomal RNA, 253 nt
Filed under: uncultured bacterium
Lineage: Bacteria
Description: partial 16S ribosomal RNA
Rfam family: Bacterial small subunit ribosomal RNA
Source: RNAcentral
UACGUAGGGGGCAAGCGUUGUCCGGAAUCAUUGGGCGUAAAGAGCGUGUAGGCGGCUCGAUAAGUCUGCUGUGAAAGUCCAGGGCUCAACCCUGGAAGGCCGGUGGAAACUGUCGGGCUAGAGUCCGGAAGAGGCGAGUGGAAUUCCCGGUGUAGCGGUGAAAUGCGCAGAUAUCGGGAGGAACACCAAUGGCGAAGGCAGCUCGCUGGGACGGUACUGACGCUGAGACGCGAAAGCGUGGGGAGCGAACAGG